Molecule: microRNA precursor, 80 nt
Filed under: Podarcis lilfordi (Lilford's wall lizard)
Lineage: Eukaryota; Metazoa; Chordata; Lepidosauria; Squamata; Lacertidae
Source: RNAcentral
AGCGAAAAAUACGGGGUGUGUGUGUGUGUGUGUGUGUAUAUAUAUAUACACACACACACACACACCGUAUUUUUUGCACC